Molecule: RNA transcript, 7185 nt
Organism: Zalophus californianus (California sea lion)
Lineage: Eukaryota; Metazoa; Chordata; Mammalia; Carnivora; Otariidae
Gene: RBFOX2
Gene name: RNA binding fox-1 homolog 2
Exons: 15
Source: RefSeq, a predicted model, not a curated record
GCCAGCCGCUGAGGGGCGCCGGGCCCGCGCGCGCGCACGCACGCACGCACGCGGGGGCGGGGGCAGGCGCGCGCCCGCCUGUCGCGACAGUCGGGGCCGAGGCCCAGGGGGAGGUGGCCUGUCGCGGGUCGCCCGGCUCCCGGAGGCGAGGGGGGCGCGGGCGGAUGGCGGAAGGCGCCCAGCCGCAGCAGCCGCCUCAGCUCGGGCCCGGCGCCGCUGCCCGGGGGAUGAAGCGGGAGUCGGAGCUGGAGCUGCCGGUGCCCGGAGGGGGAGGAGACGGAGCCGAGCCCGGCCUGAGCAAGCGGCCGCGCACCGAGGAGGCGGUGGCCGACGGCGGCGGCGGGAUGCAGAACGAGCCUCUGACCCAAGGUUAUCAUGGAUUCCCAGCACGGGACAGCCAGGGUAACCAGGAGCCAACAACAACUCCUGACGCAAUGGUUCAGCCUUUUACUACUAUCCCGUUUCCACCACCUCCACAGAAUGGAAUUCCCACAGAAUAUGGAGUGCCACACACUCAGGACUAUGCCGGCCAGACCAGUGAGCAUAACCUGACACUCUACGGAAGUACGCAAUCCCACGGGGAGCAGAGUAGCAACUCACCCAGCACACAAAACGGAUCUCUCACGCAGACGGAAGGGGGAGCGCAGACAGAUGGCCAGCAGUCACAGACACAAAGUAGUGAGAACUCAGAGAGCAAAUCCACCCCUAAACGGCUGCAUGUCUCUAAUAUUCCCUUUCGCUUCCGGGACCCCGACCUCCGACAGAUGUUUGGGCAGUUUGGCAAAAUCCUAGAUGUAGAAAUAAUCUUUAAUGAACGUGGCUCUAAGGGAUUCGGGUUCGUAACUUUCGAGAAUAGUGCUGAUGCAGACAGGGCCAGGGAGAAAUUACACGGCACCGUGGUAGAGGGCCGUAAAAUCGAGGUGAAUAAUGCUACAGCGCGUGUAAUGACCAAUAAGAAGAUGGUCACACCAUAUGCAAAUGGUUGGAAAUUAAGCCCCGUAGUUGGAGCUGUAUAUGGCCCUGAGUUAUAUGCAGCAUCCAGCUUUCAAGCAGACGUGUCCCUAGGCAAUGAUGCAGCAGUGCCCCUAUCAGGAAGAGGGGGUAUUAACACUUACAUUCCUUUAAUCAGUCUCCCUUUAGUUCCUGGCUUCCCUUACCCGACUGCAGCCACCACGGCGGCCGCUUUCAGAGGAGCCCAUCUGAGGGGCAGAGGGCGGACGGUAUACGGUGCGGUCCGAGCGGUACCUCCAACAGCCAUUCCCGCCUAUCCAGGGAAACGGAUUAAAAGAGGUUAAUUCAAAGAUGAACCAAGUCCAAUUGAAUCCAGGGAGAAAGGGAGAAGUAGGAAGAAUUAAACUACAGUUGGCUUCUGAAUGAUGUGUGGUUUACCAGGACGGAUUUUACGGUGCUGACCUCUAUGGCGGAUACGCAGCCUACAGAUACGCACAGCCCGCUACUGCGACUGCGGCCACAGCCGCCGCCGCCGCCGCCGCAGCCUACAGCGACGGUUACGGCAGGGUGUACACAGCCGACCCAUACCACGCCCUUGCCCCUGCCGCUAGCUACGGAGUUGGCGCUGUGGCGAGUUUAUACCGAGGUGGCUACAGCCGAUUUGCCCCCUACUGAAGUGACGUGAGACCCUGCAAAUGGGACAGCCCCCCAGUUCAUGAGGCCUGGCUAUUGCAAUAUUUACUAGUAGAGGAACUCUAUAGCAAGAUGAAGAGGAAAAACAAACAAACAAACAAACAAAAAAAAAUACAAAAAAAGAGAAUACUUUUUUAUACCUCACUAUGUUCUUUGAAUAUGUAUUUUUUUCCUUUACAUUUCUGCCUUUAAUUCUUUUGUUCCAAAGAUUGUGCAUUUUUUUCUUUCUUUUUCUUUUUUUUUUUAACUGUGGUAAAAAAAAAAAAAAUAAUGCAUUUCCAUGUCUGUAUGUCCGUGCUUAGCUUAUUCUGUCAAUCACGGAAGAGGCAGUUAAUGAGGAAGGGGAGACCUUAGGAGCUGAUGAAUGCAUGUGAUCAGAAAUCAGCAGACAGAGCUACCAAAGUGUAUCUGGUGCUGAGGGCUGGGGGACGAACAGAAGUGGAGGAGAUCUGUCUGCAACAGGAUAUUCUUCUAGUCUUCUGAGUUUCUGGUCUUCGGCAGGCAGUUCUGCUUGGCUCUUGCUGGAAUCCACAUGCUGAUAGAUGACAGGAGUUUGUGCUUGCAAAGCAGGAGGACUGAAAAGACACUUUCCUCUCCUCUUCCCUCCUGUCUUCUCCAUUCUUUUUACAAUCAUCUUAACCCGCACAGCCUGAGACCGUUGGCAUCGUUUUUGGAAUUAUAAUAUUAAUAUUUCCAAACAUGCUCUCAGACUGUGGAUAAUAAACACCUCAUUAGGAAACCGAUCUCAGAAUGAACUCUGGAGUGUGAAAAAGAUCAUUCUUUUCUUUCCUGAGAUCCUAGCAUUCCUGCUGGGCUUCUUCCCCUUUCUCUGAACCACAGCUUAGCUCAUCUAUCCUUCUAUAAACUCCCUACUCCCAAGUCCUCAAGAGUCAGGAAUUUAGGACCCAGGGACAGGAGAAUAAAUAGCGACCAGAUCUCCCGGCUUGAGGGUUUAGAAGUACGAAGCGUUGGGAGCCAGUAAAGAGGGUAAGGAAGAGAAAAGGGGUAUCAGAUGAUGUCUGGCAGGGCUCUGAUAUUCCUGUGCUUUCUCUUGCAUCAGGAGGUCAGUACAAGGUAUGAAACAUAUGGAGAGUGUUGGCAAAAGAUAAAGCUCCGAGUCCCGGGGCGGCUGUCCCUGGAAGUUUGUGGUGAUUGGGGCAUGUGAGGGCAGGCAAAGGCACUUUGUACUAACUAGCUCCAAAGCCAUAGGAAUUCCCAUCUUCCAGAGCAUUCUGUGAGCCACUUCUCUGUCCAUGGUUUUGAGCUCUCGUGGCCACUCCGCCCGGCUUCUCAUUUUCCUCCAAAGACACCCAGCCGAGCACCGACUGCUUGGCAUACAUGAACACUACAGGAGAUAAAACCCAGAGCCCCUGAGGCUCCUCCCCUCCCCUAGUGGAAGGAGGGUGUGUCCUGGCAAGGAUCUCACAUGUUGCCAGGAAGAGUCGUGUUGUGACCACAGCGGUGAGUCACUGCUGUGGCUGCCUGGCUUUGAUUUUAUACAUAUUGACAAGGCAGGGGAGAAGGUGUUUCUCUUCUAGCUAUUAGCUGUUAAUGAUAAAGGCAAGGGUCCUGCAGCAUUUCCAAAAUGACGGCAUUAGAAAACAGAAAAGCACGGUCUGUUUGGCUCCCUGGUCUAUUCACAUUGGUACUAGGGUGACCUCUCACCCAAGGGAUAGCUGCUAAAGGGAGUAAUUCAGAGACAUGGAGCUUCUGGUUUGUUAUGGGUUUGUUUUCCGUUUGUUUUGUUGUUGUUGUUUUUUUUUUUCUUUUUUUUACUCCUGCCUCCACACGUGUUCUUGACUGAUAACUGAUUCAUGUCCCUGAAUUAAAAUGACUGACAUAUGACAGCAUCAAGCAUUCUUUGUAAGCAGAGUGAUCUGUCCGGGAGGGACUGGCCUAUUGUGUAAAAUACCUAUCUUCUCCCCCUGUAAAACCUUCUCUCUCCUGAUGACUGGGAGGAGAGGCUGUGCCUGAAACGAGGGGAGACAUCAAUGAAGCUAGAGGCCUCGAUGCAAUCUUACUAAUUCUGGGGAGGAAUGCAUGGAAUACGGGACGCCAAACUGCCUGGGGCCAUUGGCCAUUUGUAAGGGUUCCCCUCCCCAAGCCAAAGUUUGUUUUCGUUGCUGUUAAGACAAUUUUUUUUGUAUGUAUAUAAAUAUUUUAGUUAGAGGAAGGGGUAUAGGAUGUGGGGCUUUCACAGUUCUAGAGAAUGGGGGCAGGGAGGAUUUUUUUUCUUUCGCUUUUGUUUUGAGGGAGAGCUUUUACUCACUAAAGAAACAGAGAAAUUUCCUGUCAUGUUCAAAUAGGGGCCAUUCACAGAAAUGGCAAGCCACUGCUCAGUGGAGAUAAGGCCAAAUUUUAAAUGGUUGUGUCUGUAGCAGGGGAGGAGAAUCGGGGAAUGAGUUUAGUAAUUUUCUCUUCUUUUUUCCAAGAAAGAGACAAGGAUGGUGGGCAAGGUAGAGAGGGCAGCUCCCACUGCCCUUUUAAAAGAGGCAGAAGCUCGAGCUUGGGCUACCUUUACUGCAGUUCAGUUCAGCUGGUUCUGGCUGAGGACUCCAUAGGCAAGCUCUGUGCAUCCUGCUGCAUUUCCAGGGAUGGUUGUAAUCCGGCUUCCUCUAGUUCCCUUUUCUAAGGAAGGCUGAGCAGACUUCCGCUUUCACUCAAGGGCCUCGGGCUCUUCAGCAUCAGCACCGAGAAUUGGAGCUCUCGUGAGCACCUAGAUGAGAUUGUAGCUGCCCCCCCAUCCCCUUUUGAACUCUGAGACUCCGUACAGCCAGCUUCAUCAGAGGCAGGUUCCUCAAAGCACCAGUGCUUGUCUGCUCCUGGCUCUGGUUCCCACUGGACUAAGAAACAGAGUCGGAAGAGAGUUUGGCAUCUGUGGGUUCGUUAGAGGAUGCUGGUUGGUGAUUCCAAAAAACACUGAUGCUGAAUCCCAGCACGUGAAUGAUUUCCACAGCUUUACUGUAGCUCAUGACGUGAACUUCUGUACUUAGCGUCUUACUCCUAGAAGCUGGGCUCUUUUAAGGAGACUGCUAGUGAAAACCUUUAUCUCCUAACCCCUUUUCAGCCAGGAGAGCUGCCCUUAGGUCUUUUCUGGAAUCCCUUGUGUUCCAUGGUUCAGCUCCCGAAACCCCUGGCUCAACUAUUGUGACUCAUCUUUUUUAAGGCUCUCAGGUUUUCCCGAACUUCCCAUCACCACCAUCCUCUGACAACCGCAGGUGGGACUGAGCCAAUGUUAUUUUUCCUUGAAAAAGAAGGAGACUGGGACUCACCUCUUCGUUUAAGGGGAGCUAGUGGAGAUUAUUCAAUAAAAACCAGUGGUAGCAGCUUUUCCUCAAAAGUCUUACUCCUCAGGGGCUGAACUGCUCUUACUUUAGGUUCCCGUUCCUAGCGAUGUAGCAGACAAGUAGGUGAGCACCACCCCCAUCACCAAUCACUUAGCUUCCAGGUGGGAGGGAGGUGUAAACUCGGGAUUGAAGCCGCCCUGAUGAUCUGCCAGAAGGGCUACCUUACUCCCCUUCCCUCGGACAGGAGAAUGGGGCCAAGCCAGGGCCCCUCUGGAAGGCAUGCCAGCCAGGAGGGGGAGGGAAACUGCUCACGCCCUUCCCUCUCACCAAGUCCAGCCUCCUCCGCUGCUUGCAACCUCUAGCACGGUAACGUUUGCAGAAUUGCAGACUCCCCCCCCUCCCCAUGAUAGGAAGAAAGGGACUUUGGGGGGUGGGGAAGGGAUAGUGGUGUUUUAAAAAGCAUAAAGUUACCUGUUUGCACUGUUUUAAGAUAGGAGAAAAGAAUAGUGGGCAAGAUGAACAUCAGACGUAAAUUUGUGUGUUUUUAUUUUGUCAUGCUCUUGAAAAUGUCUGACCAUUUGUAGUAUAUAACACCAGUGAGACUCGGUUCUGUUACAUAAAACACUAAAAUUUUUUUUCUUUUUUGGGUAAUGUUACGUCCAGAAGCCUCUUUCCUCCCUUUCCCUGUGUACUUCCUCCACACUUGCUUUACUGAUCAACCAGGCAAUAGCCAUCCAAGAGCUCGAGCAUGAAGCGGGGCCCUUUCCAAGUAGGCUCCAGCAGUCCUAAGCCAGUGCACUCCCCCUGGUCUAGUAAGCGCAGUGGAGUCCCUGGCACCUGGCUUUAAAACAAGGCUUACAGACCAGCCUAUGGCAAGUUCUGCAGUGCCCAAAGUAGACGCGCUAGGAACGAGGAGCUGAGGGCAGAGGGGAUUCCUCAAGUGACCCAAGUCGGCUGUUGUAGCGGUUCUUAACCCACGUUACCGCAACUGUAGCCAGUUACAGUUUACUCAGGAAAACGGGAGAUCAAUUCAGCCAUGGUGGUGCUGGUUGGCAGGGAUUGGUAACCGAGAGAACUGCUCAUCAGCCAAAACUCAGACCUUGCCUUUAAGGAGACUGCCAGCAGGGGGACCCGGUGCGGACGCGGGGGGCGGGGGGCUCCCUUGGUCACACUCGCAAGCAAAAAGGGAAUGUCAGUUCUCUUUACCCCCCCCCCCCGCUCCCCUCUCCCCCGUUACCAACAUCAGAUUCCCAGGGGGUCCGUGCGGUUUUGACUUUUUAAAAAGUGACUUUUGGUUUGGUUUUACUGGGGACUGAUAAGUGCUUUAAGCAACGUCUACACCCCAUUGAGACUCCCAGCUUAGCCAUUUUCUUGUAUUUUUCUGUUCACAGUAUUUUCGUGUGUGUGUGCUUGUUCUGGCAGCUGAUUUUGGCUGUAUUAUAUAUCAAAGAGUGAUGAAUUGAUCCUCUUUUUUCCCUAAGGGAUAUGAAUUGUUUUUUUUUUUGUUUUGUUUUGUUUUGUUUUUCUUGUGUUAUAAUUCUGCUUGUGAAUAGCUGGAGCAAACCUGGGGCUUGACACACGUAAGCUAGGGCUGCAAAGUGCUGACAGGGCCGGUGGAGUUGACUUGUCCCUGACAGGCUGACCUACCUGUGUCUCUGAGCUUUUCAGCCCAAAUCUUUGCAAGGCUAAAAAUGCCACAGAACCUCUCCUCUCCUCCCCACUCCCCAUGGCAGGGACUGGACCAUCCCAACAUGCGACAUGCAGCUUCUCCAGCCCCCUCCCAUUGCCAUGGCAAAACAGGUACCUUUGGGGCAUGGGGGCAUCACAUGGGAUGCUUGUAUAAUUGACCACCUCGCCUUCUCUCCCCACCCCCCACCCCAGAGUCACUUCCUAGGACACCCGAGCUGCUUGCCCAGGGUCCUGUUUCCCUGCGAACUCCGGAGAAGCACCCCCGGGCUUUGUGACAGCCUCUAACUCCCUCCCCUUCUUGUUAAGAAUCCUAUUGUAUAGUAGCUUUCAGACCAUACAGUAUUCAUUGGGUUACUCCUAUUAUUAUCAAGUAGCUGGAAUUGUGAAGGUCGGAGUAGUUAGAUCUUUAGCUUUUAUUCCUUAUUUUUUUGUAUUACUAUCCAUGUGUAUAAAUUAUUGAUCAUGUUGCUGGCUUUUAUAAACUCCAAGCGAAGGAGGAGUGCCGCCUCUGCCUUUGCAAACGGUAAUGAAGCACUGUUUUUAAAUAAACGAGAGAAACACCGUU